RNAcentral lists this ribosomal RNA (253 nucleotides) under uncultured bacterium. RNAcentral describes it as "partial 16S ribosomal RNA". It matches the Rfam family "Bacterial small subunit ribosomal RNA", at positions 524 to 776 of the family's 1533-position model. The record is from RNAcentral.
UACGGAGGGUGAAAGCGUUAUCCGGAUUUACUGGGUUUAAAGGGUGCGUAGGUGGGUCUGUAAGUCAGUGGGGAAAUCUCCGAGCUUAACUCGGAAACUGCCAUUGAUACUAUAGGUCUUGAAUUAUCUGGAGGUAAGCGGAAUAUGUCAUGUAGCGGUGAAAUGCUUAGAUAUGACAUAGAACACCAAUUGCGAAGGCAGCUUACUACGGAUAUAUUGACACUGAGGCACGAAAGCGUGGGGAUCAAACAGG